GACGAACGCUGGCGGCGUGCUUAACACAUGCAAGUCGAACGGAAAGGCCCUGCUUUUGUGGGGUGCUCGAGUGGCGAACGGGUGAGUAACACGUGAGUAACCUGCCCUUGACUUUGGGAUAACUUCAGGAAACUGGGGCUAAUACCGGAUAGGAGCUCCUGCUGCAUGGUGGGGGUUGGAAAGUUUCGGCGGUUGGGGAUGGACUCGCGGCUGAUCAGCUUGUUGGUGGGGUAGUGGUUUACCCAGGCUUUGACGGGUAGCCGGCCUGGGAGGGUGCCCGGCGACAUUGGGACUGAGAUACGGCCCAGACUCCUAGGGGAGGCAGCAGUGGGGAAUAUUGAACAAUGGGCGGAAGCCUGAGGCAGCGACGCCGCGGGCGGGAUGACGGCCUUCGGGUUGUAAACCGCUUUCGCCUGUGACGAAGCGUGAGUGACGGUAAUGGGUAAAGAAGCACCGGCUAACUACGUG
This 468-nucleotide ribosomal RNA is filed under the name uncultured bacterium. RNAcentral's name for it is "partial 16S ribosomal RNA". It matches the Rfam family "Bacterial small subunit ribosomal RNA", at positions 28 to 507 of the family's 1533-position model. The record is from RNAcentral.